RNAcentral lists this ribosomal RNA (446 nucleotides) under uncultured bacterium. RNAcentral's name for it is "bacterial SSU rRNA". It matches the Rfam family "Bacterial small subunit ribosomal RNA", at positions 1038 to 1490 of the family's 1533-position model. The record is from RNAcentral.
GUGCUGCAUGGCUGUCGUCAGCUCGUGUCGUGAGAUGUUGGGUUAAGUCCCGCAACGAGCGCAACCCUUAUCAUUAGUUGCUACGCAAGGGCACUCUAAUGAGACUGCCGGUGACAAACCGGAGGAAGGUGGGGAUGACGUCAAGUCCUCAUGGCCCUUAUGGGUAGGGCUUCACACGUCAUACAAUGGUCGGUACAGAGGGUUGCCAAGCCGCGAGGUGGAGCCAAUCCCAGAAAGCCGAUCGUAGUCCGGAUUGUUCUCUGCAACUCGAGAGCAUGAAGUCGGAAUCGCUAGUAAUCGCGGAUCAGCAUGUCGCGGUGAAUACGUUCCCGGGUCUUGUACACACCGCCCGUCACACCAUGGGAGUGGAAUCUGGCAGAAGUAGGUAGCCUAACCGCAAGGAGGGCGCUUACCACGCUGGGUUUCAUGACUGGGGUGAAGUCGUA